RNAcentral lists this ribosomal RNA (513 nucleotides) under uncultured bacterium. RNAcentral's name for it is "bacterial SSU rRNA". It matches the Rfam family "Bacterial small subunit ribosomal RNA", at positions 8 to 518 of the family's 1533-position model. The record is from RNAcentral.
AGAGUUUGAUUCUGGCUCAGGAUGAACGCUGGCGGCGUGCCUAAUACAUGCAAGUGAAACGGGUAUCUUCGGAUACCAGUCGCGGACGGGUGAGUAAUACAUAGGCAACCUGCCUUUAUGAGGGGGAUAACCGAGGGAAACUUUGGCUAAUACCGCAUGAAGACUCUAAGGCAUCUUAGAGGGAUAAAAGUUGGGAAACAACGCAUGAAGAUGGGCUUAUGGCGCAUUAGCUAGUUGGUGAGAUAGAAGCCCACCAAGGUAAUGAUGCGUAGCCGACCUGAGAGGGUGAACGGCCACAUUGGGACUGAGACACGGCCCAAACUCCUACGGGAGGCAGCAGUAGGGAAUUUUCGGCAAUGGGGGGAACCCUGACCGAGCAACGCCGCGUGAAGGAAAAGAAGGUUUUCGGAUUGUAAACUUCUGUUAUAAGGGAAGAACGGAUUGGAUAGGGAAUGAUCUGAUAGUGACGGUACCUUAUUAGAAAGCCACGGCUAACUACGUGCCAGCAGCAGC